RNAcentral lists this ribosomal RNA (394 nucleotides) under uncultured bacterium. RNAcentral describes it as "bacterial SSU rRNA". It matches the Rfam family "Bacterial small subunit ribosomal RNA", at positions 524 to 916 of the family's 1533-position model. The record is from RNAcentral.
GACAGAGGUGGCAAGCGUUGUUCGGAUUUAUUGGGCGUAAAGCGCACGCAGGCGGUUUGGUAAGUCAGGGGUGAAAGCCCACAGCUUAACUGUGGGACUGCCCUUGAUACUGCCUUUCUCGAGAGCAUGAGGGGGAAGCGGCAUUCCGAGUGUAGAGGUGAAAUUCGUAGAUAUUCGGAGGAACACCGGUGGCGAAGGCGGCUUCCUGGCAUGUAACUGACGCUCAGGUGCGAAAGCGUGGGUAGCAAACAGGAUUAGAUACCCUGGUAGUCCACGCCCUAAACGAUGGGCACUAGGUGUGGGAGGUAUCGACCCCUUCCGUGCCGCAGCUAACGCAUUAAGUGCCCCGCCUGGGGAGUACGGCCGCAAGGUUGAAACUUAAAGGAAUUGACGG